Gallus gallus (chicken) is the source of this 2608-nucleotide long non-coding RNA. Lineage: Eukaryota; Metazoa; Chordata; Aves; Galliformes; Phasianidae. The record is from Ensembl.
CGUUAUGCUGUUUUCUUCCUCCUUCCUCAGAGAAGGGUUUGCUCAUGCAUGAGGUGUUUCGUUUUGGCACUUUGCAUGAUUUCCUUCGAUGUACGCAUUUAUGUACAUUUAUGUAGAAAUAAGUGUCUACAAAUACCGUGUGCUCACAGAGUUCCUGGUGCUGAGACUUACUUGCUUAGCUCUGUGCCCUAACCCUGUUUCCUGCCCAAAUGAGCACUGUGCUCCUGGCUGCAUCUUGGAUGUGAGGAACAGAGCUGUCAUCCAGAAGUGCCUCGCUCACAUCAACAGGAAGGGGGGCCAAGACCUGAGGUUUUACACAGCAGUCUCUGCAGAAAGCAGAGACAGAUGUCUGAUAGGGACUGAUAUAUAUUUCAAGACGGGAUAUCCUCACCUUGAUUAUGCAGUUAGGGAGUAAAACUCUUCUGCUGGACCGAGUCCUCGUUUCUGUGAUGAUGUCCUGUACUGCUCCAACUCAGAGGUUAUUUGCUGGGCCUCCUGCCUGGGGCAAGUUGCUGAUUUUUGGCAGUAAUGGAGCCCUGUCAGGUGUGCUGGAAGUAUUUGGUAUGCAUCAGGUCUGUCAAUUCCUAAUUACAGCCAAAAAGAAGGAGGUACAGCUCUAUUAACAGGGAGAGGAAUAAAACACAGCUCGGUAGUGACUGAAAAUUUGUCUCUUACAAGUUACUGCAAGUAGUUGGAAAUACUGUGCACAAUACACCAAGCAUGGUGAGACUCACAGCUCACAUGUACUGAAGAAUAUAGAGAACCAUACAAAGCAAACAAAGCAGCUAGCUUAUAAAACAGGUUGUUGAGUAAGACCCAGUCUCCCUGCAGGAAGCUGUUAUUAAUUCUAAUUUGGUGAAGUCUUCAGUUUCAACAUCUCAAAUGGUAAUACAUAUAUUUCUGAAAGAAAAUUCUAAAUGGAUUUGGAAUUGUGAAGCUGUUGGUAAUUAUAGUCUGGUAAAGCCCGCAACAGUGACUUCCAACAUGUGCAAAUAGUGCGGGAUGGAAGCAGAACAUGGAUCCAGCAUGAAUUCUAUCACAAGACCUCAAGACGUCAGUGUCUGUUUUGCUGCUGGGACAGAAGGAUGUCACAAGCAGAGAGCUCAAAGUCCACCUGCAGACUGACACAGACGCCCUUUGACUUUCUAUUGACUGAAGGAAGGACUGAACUUCUUGAUGACACCUAAGAGAGGGUUAAAAAGGGGUGAUUAAGAAGAUCACAACUAGAGGACAUCUGCACUUUUGUGAGCUUUGGUGUUUUUAGUAAUAAUGGUUCAUCCUGUGAUCUACAAAACAAACUGUAAGUUCCUUUGGUUUGAUUCAACUUAGGCUCCUGGUGCUGUAGACAGUGAAUGAGGAAGAAAACAAUUACACCACACUUGAAGCUGAGUAUCUGUACAGAUCUUCUGUAUGGAUCUCAUAUUCCACACAGUGACCACCAGUCCCUUUUUCUACAGGGAUGAUGCAAUUGUACCUGGGACACCACAAGCAACUCUAGGUUUUCCAACACUGAUUCUGUGCUUAACUAAAGCAAUUAAUAGUACUGACCAAUGAAUGUGGAGAAAGACAAACAAACUUCCCGAUUUUGCUGUAUUUAGGUAGUUCUCUUCACCUGAACAGAUCAGGUCUUAAAGAGGGUGUAACUGCAGUCAUAGCUUUAGAACUAUAAUCAGUAAUACUUAUAUCUCCUGUUACAGACUUUAUACCUCAGGAGAUGCGGAGGAAAAUUAUUCAUCUGCGAAACACACAGCGUGUCAUUGCAGGUGACAGUAAAGGUCUUUCACCGGAAUUACCUGUAAAAGCAAGCUUUUGUUAAUGAUUUCUAACAGGUCAUCCAAGCAUAGUUCAGUGCACUGAACUCUAGCCAGAGAAUGGAAACUAUGACAGCACAGUGCAUGAGUUUCAGUGACAACACACUGUGAACCUUACAGGAAAUUUAAGGCUGUUUUUUUGCCUAUCGGUAGAUGAAAACUGAACUGAGAAGUGGAUCCAGCCAAUGAAUGAGAGGGAUCCUGAAUGCAGAAGUUCCUUUUCAAGUAUUGUUGAGUUGUGAUGAAGAUCUGAUGACAUAUUUUUAGUCAAAUUUCUUUUUAUGCAUCUAUGAUGUCUUAUUUUCCUGAAAUAUAAUGGUGACUGCCAACAGCAUGGUCUGCAACAGAUGUUAAGAGAGCUUAGGGAUAGAUUCAGAUGGCUGAGUACAAUAUAAUCAUUUUACAUGAAAUAGAGUUGGCAAGCUAAAAUGGUUAUGGCUUCAAGUAUAUGCCUUUGCAGAUUAAUUGCUGGUGAUUAUACUUUUCUGAUAGCACAGACCUGGAAUGCUGAACUGUAAAAAAAUUCUUGUGUGUCCCUCUGAGGGCAGGAGUAUGCAAGUGUGUCAUCAGCACAAGUAAUGAGCAUGUAUUUGCCUAAAUCAACCCUGCAUGUGAGCUGCUGAGACACUUUCCAGAUAAAAUGCUAAAACAGAGAGUUGUCAGUCUUCACUUAACAGAGUAUGCUUUACUUCUCUGGUACAUGGGAUGCUGAGACUGAUAGCCAUCUACUUCUACCAUGAGUAAAAGCUAGUUUCACACACAUAUACAAAAACAAACAAACAAACAAACAAAAAAAC